This 468-nucleotide ribosomal RNA is filed under the name Triticum aestivum (bread wheat). RNAcentral's name for it is "partial small subunit ribosomal RNA". The record is from RNAcentral. Lineage: Eukaryota; Viridiplantae; Streptophyta; Magnoliopsida; Poales; Poaceae.
AUGGACCCGGAACUCGUGCUCCACCUCCAGAUCGCCGCGGUGGUCGUGAUGGCGGUCAUCAUCGUCGCCGUGGCCGUCAUGGCCACCGGUGGAGCCUGCGACGACGCGGCCGGCGCCACCGGGAGCGCCGCGGUGCACGACGCCGACGUCGAGGCCGCCCUCGGCGACGACACGCUCAUGACGUACGAGCAGGCGGCCGCCAGGAAGAAGGAGAAGGAGAAGGGGGAGGGAGAGGAGGAGCGGUGCGCCAUUUGCCUGUCGGAGUACGGCGAGGGCGAGGCCGGCGAGCUGGUGCGGGUGGUGCCGGCCUGCGGGCACUUCUACCACGCGAGCUGCGACGUCGACCGCUGGCUCCGGAAGCGCCGGACGUGCCCGCUCUGCCGCGGAGGGCUCGGGCCGCCGCCGCUGCCGGGGCUGCCGCGGUCGGAGUGCCCGCCGAUGCCGCCGCGGAUGACGUCUUUAGCUUAG